GCUCUCUCGGCGAGCCGCGGGAAGCGGCCGCGUCACUCGCGAAGCCGCGCCGUCCCCAGCUCCUCCAGGCACCACGCGCUGGGAGGCCAGCACCAGCCAGAGUCGGUGACGCCGCUUCACCGACGUGGGGCGGGCAAGAGAGAAGGCCUGUGGUCCUGGCCCCCGCCUCCGGAGCCCGGGUGACCGCAGAGAAAUGAACACAGAAACAGAGCAACAGCUUCUUCAUCAUGCCAGAAAUGGCAAUGUUGAAGAGGUAAGACAGCUAUUAGAAACCAUGGACAAGAAUGAAGUAAUUGCUGACAUUAAUUGCAAAGGAAGAAGUAAGUCUAACUUGGGCUGGACACCUCUUCAUCUGGCAUCCUAUUUUGGACAUAAACAAGUUGUCCAUGAUCUGUUGAAGGCUGGCGCAGAUGUGAAUGUGUUAAAUGACAUGGGCGAUACACCACUUCAUCGAGCUGCCUUCACAGGACGAAAGGAGUUGGUAAUGCUUCUCUUAGAAUAUAAUGCUGAUACUACCGUGGUAAAUGGGAAUGGACAGACAGCAAAAGAAGUUUCUCAUGACAAAGAAAUCAGAAACAUGCUUGAAGCUGUUGAAAGGACUCAACAAAGAAAGCUUGAAGAAUUACUUUUAGCAGCAGCAAGAGAAGGCAAAACAGCAGAAAUCACAGCUCUGCUCAGCAGACCCAAUCCUCCUGAUGUUAACUGUUUGGAUCAGUUAGGGAAUACACCUUUGCAUUGUGCAGCUUACCGGGCCCAUAAGCAGUGUGCCAUAAAGCUUCUGAAAAGUGGAGCUGACCCUAACCUAAGGAACAAAAAUGAUCAAAAACCUCUUGAUCUUGCCCAGGGUGCUGAAAUGAAACAUGUUCUUAUUGGUAAUAAGGUCAUCUACAAAACCCUGAAACGGUAUGAAGGCCCUCUCUGGAAGAGUUCAAGAUUUUUUGGCUGGAGAUUGUUCUGGGUAGUGUUAGAACAUGGAGUCCUUUCAUGGUAUAGGAAACAGCCUGACGCAGUCCAUAAUGUUUAUCGCCAGGGAUGCAAACACCUGACUCAAGCAGUGUGCACGGUGAAAUCCACUGAUAGCUGCCUCUUCUUUAUCAAAUGCUUUGAUGACACCAUCCAUGGAUUUCGAGUUCCUAAGAAUGCACUUCAACAGUCAAGAGAGAACUGGCUGGAAGCAAUUGAAGAACAUUCUGCAUAUAGUACUCAUUACUGCUCCCAAGACCAGUUGACUGAUGACGAAGAAGAUGAUACGGUUUCUGCUAUAGACUUGAAGCAAUCCUUACAGAAAGCACAAACAUGUCAACAGAGACUCGAUAGGGAAAUUUCCAGCUUUCUUAAAAUGAUUAAGGAGUGUGACAUGGCUAAAGAAAUGCUUCCAUCAUUUCUUCAGAAAGUUGAAGUUGUCUCUGAAGCUUCUAGAGAAAGUUGUGUUGCUUUGAGUGAUUGCCUUAAUGUCUUCAAUAAGCAAGAAGGGGUGAGGAAUUUAAAAUUGGAACAGGAACAAGAAAAAAACAAAAUUUUGUCAGAAGCACUGGAAACUCUAGCCACUGAGCAUCAUGAAUUAGAGCAAUCUCUGGUUGAAGGAUCCCCACCUCCCAGCAUCCUGAGUGAAGACGAGUUCUAUGAUGCACUGUCAGAUUCUGAGUCCGAGCGGUCCCUGAGUCGAUUGGAGGCAGUGACAGCCCAAUCCUUUGAAGAGGAAGAAGAACACUUGAACAGGGGAAAACACAGAAUGUCUGAAGGAAAAGAUUGUGGUGGUGGAGAUGCACUCUCCAAUGGCAUCAAAAAGCACAGAACAAGCUUGCCCUCUCCUAUGUUUUCCAGAAAUGACUUCAGUAUCUGGAGCAUCCUCAGGAAAUGUAUUGGAAUGGAACUCUCCAAGAUCACCAUGCCAGUUAUAUUUAAUGAGCCUUUGAGCUUCUUACAGCGGCUAACUGAGUACAUGGAGCAUACUUACCUCAUCCACAAGGCCAGUUCAUUAUCUGAUCCUGUGGAAAGGAUGCAGUGUGUAGCUGCGUUUGCUGUGUCUGCAGUUGCUUCUCAGUGGGAACGCACAGGAAAGCCAUUCAACCCGCUCCUUGGAGAAACUUACGAACUGGUCAGAGAUGACCUCGGAUUCAGACUCAUUUCGGAACAGGUCAGCCAUCACCCACCAAUCAGUGCAUUUCAUGCAGAAGGACUAAAUAAUGACUUUAUCUUUCAUGGCUCAAUCUAUCCAAAACUGAAGUUUUGGGGGAAGAGCGUAGAAGCAGAACCCAAAGGAACCAUCACCUUGGAGCUCCUUGAACACAGCGAAGCAUAUACAUGGACCAACCCUACCUGCUGUGUGCAUAAUAUCAUCGUGGGUAAACUCUGGAUCGAGCAGUAUGGCAAUGUGGAAAUCACAAACCACAGGACUGGGGACAAAUGCGUGUUAAAUUUUAAGCCAUGUGGCCUUUUUGGUAAGGAAUUACACAAAGUUGAAGGCUACAUACAAGAUAAAAGCAAAAAGAAGCUAUGUGCUCUCUAUGGGAAGUGGACUGAGUGUUUAUAUAGUGUUGACCCUGCCACUUUUGAGGCUUACAAAAAAAAUGAUAAGAGAAACACUGAAGAGAAGAAGAACAGCAAACAGAUGAGCAACUCUGAAGAGUCUGAUGAAAUGCCAAUGCCAGAUUCUGAAAGUGUGUUUGUUAUCCCUGGAAGUGUUCUCCUGUGGCGAAUAGCACCACGGCCUCCCAACUCUGCCCAGAUGUAUAAUUUUACUAGCUUUGCAAUGGUUUUGAAUGAAGUAGACAAGGAAAUGGAAAGUGUGAUUCCUAAGACAGACUGCAGAUUGCGGCCAGACAUCAGAGCCAUGGAGAAUGGGGAGAUAGAUCAAGCUAGUGAAGAAAAAAAACGACUUGAGGAAAAACAAAGAGCAGCUCGCAAAAACAGAUCCAAGUCAGAAGAGGACUGGAAGACGAGGUGGUUCCAUCAAGGUCCCAAUCCCUACAAUGGAGCCCAAGACUGGCUUUACUCUGGCAGCUACUGGGACAGAAACUACUUCAAUUUGCCUGACAUUUAUUAAAACGCAGACAAGCCAGGGUGUUUGGCUAAUCUACAAAUAAGUCUUAAAUUUGUUCAAAAUUUUCCCUUAGUUUCUCAUCUUAAAAAAAUUGUUCACAAGUUAUCUUGCGUUUCCCCCAUAAGAUAGGAUUAUACAGUGAUUUUGAUCAUGAAAGUCUCAGGAAAAGUCUAAUUUUGCUGUCAACAUACAUUUAGAAUACUGUUUUACAGAGAGGUAAGAGAAAAAGGUCCCUUUUCUGGUUGCAGCUGCCAUGUUUACUGCAGGUUUAUAUGUAAAUUUAACAUUAGCUUUAUAGAAUUACAUAGAACUCUUAAACGAAGUUAUUUUCAACUAUUUUAUGCUGUCAUGCUUAUAUGUUUUAGAAGUAACUUUGAAAUGUUUCUAGUUCUCCUAUAUGAUGUAUGCUCAAAUGUUAAAGGUUGUCAUUUGUAAAGACUAAAUUGAUAAGAUGGCUUUAUUCAUAUUAAUCUCAACUUUACCCACUUGAAUAUUCAGGUUUCACCAACUUGAAAAUCCUCAAAAAUUAAACUGGAAAAGGUAUUUUGUUUUCAUGCUCUGAAGAAUUUACUAUAACAAUUUUCUGCAGUUGUCAUUAGAAUUAAAAUGUUUAUUUUUAAGUGAAAAUAUGUAUAAAAUCUAGCAGUUCACAAAUAUGUCCUAGAAAUAUUUUAGUCACUAUCAUUAUUACAUAAUGACAGACCUUUUAAAAUGUGUCAGCUUACAGUGGCAAAUGCCAGAGAAAUUAAGCUAACUCAUGUAUUAUAUCACAAGGAGGUCUUAUGCAUUUCAAGGUACCUGGGUACUUAAAAAUAUAUAUGGAGACCUACUGUACAGUAGCUUUGCCCCUAUACUUGGGGUUCAUUAAUCUUUUAGUAUUUAUCCACCCAGACAGACAGUGCUCAAGGAGCCUCACUUAGGUAGCUGCCAGUAAAUUGCUAUCUUGAAGUUAACAAGUGUUAUAAUGAAAUAAUCUACCUGAUGCUAAAUAAAGGCUUUAGAAUGUUC
RNA transcript from Perognathus longimembris pacificus (Pacific pocket mouse), 4051 nucleotides. It is a transcript of the gene named oxysterol binding protein like 1A, with no coding region annotated. Lineage: Eukaryota; Metazoa; Chordata; Mammalia; Rodentia; Heteromyidae. The transcript is spliced from 29 exons. The record is from RefSeq and is a predicted model, not a curated record.